Molecule: small RNA, 372 nt
Filed under: Caenorhabditis elegans
Lineage: Eukaryota; Metazoa; Nematoda; Chromadorea; Rhabditida; Rhabditidae
Description: Unclassified non-coding RNA F37H8.14
Source: RNAcentral
GAGAACCUAGAUUUCAAUCGAGGGACCUCCUGCGACACGAAAAGGCAGGAAUGAUAGAUUUGAGGUAUUUUCCUUACGUAAUUGGUUCCGCAAAAUCACAAAAUAAAAAGAAUUAAAAUGCAAAAAUUUCAGGCUAGCCUGCAGGCUCAAUAACGACAAGACGGAGAGUGGAUCGACAAGAGGGAAGAGGUGAAAUUGGUUCAAAUUCAGGUAAAUUAGCAAAUUUUUUUUAUAGUUAAAAGCUGAAAAUGCCAAUCCAUCUAAUUUAAGGCUCUUAAUUACAGAUGCAACAACAACAGGACUGGUCGAAAGGAGGACUUUUGGAACACGUGAUGCCGUUCGUCAAGACUCACAAAACAUGGGCCAGAACAA